This 519-nucleotide ribosomal RNA is filed under the name Triticum aestivum (bread wheat). RNAcentral's name for it is "partial small subunit ribosomal RNA". The record is from RNAcentral. Lineage: Eukaryota; Viridiplantae; Streptophyta; Magnoliopsida; Poales; Poaceae.
AUGAGGAGCCCCCCAACGGCCGUCAUGGCGGUGGCAGCGCUGCUGCUGCUGCUGGUAUCCCUGGCGGCGGCGGUGGCGAACACGACGGACAGGGAGCUGCACCAUCGGGUCUUGGCGGAGUUUAAGGCAGGGCACGGCAAGAAAAUGAGCGAGAAGGAGACUUGGCGGGUGUUUGCCGAGUGGAAGGCCAAGCACGGCAGGAAGUACAGCUCCGCUCGCGAGGAGGAUCGCCGUUACGCUAUCUUCAAGGAAAAACUCCGCGACGCCGAUCUGCACAAGGCCGCCUUCGGCCCCGACGCAGUUUUCGGCAUCAACAUGUUCAGCGACCGCACCGAUGAGGAGUGGAGAACCCUGAGCCAGGGACAUGAGCCAUAUAUACCAAGAGAAGGACGUGAUCCACAUAUGCUUCCAAUCUAUAUCUGUGAUGAUGGCCUCCGCGCCUCCCAAGCUGUCCCACUGACACACACUUUGUCUACUGAGCCAGUCGACUUUCGUCGUGGCACUCUACUUCCUAUGUAA